UGCUGGUGGAGCAGGUUGUGGUGUGCUGGUGGAGCAGGUUGUGGUGUACAUAUGUCGGGUGUGCUGGUGGAGCAGGUUGUGGUGUACAUAUGUUGGGUGUGCUGGUGGAGCAGGUUGUGGUGUACAUAUGUCGGGUGUGCUGGUGGAGCAGGUUGUGGUGUACAUAUGUUGGGUGUGCUGGUGGAGCAGGUUGUGGUGUACAUAUGUUGGGUGUGCUGGUGGAGCAGGUUGUGGUGUACAUAUGUUGGGUGUGCUGGUGGAGCAGGUUGUGGUGUACAUAUGUUGGGUGUGCUGGUGGAGCAGGUUGUGGUGUACAUAUGUUGGGUGUGCUGGUGGAGCAGGUUGUGGUGUACAUAUGUUGGGUGUGCUGGUGGAGCAGGUUGUGGUGUACAUAUGUCGGAUGU
Molecule: long non-coding RNA, 404 nt
Organism: Bufo bufo (common toad)
Lineage: Eukaryota; Metazoa; Chordata; Amphibia; Anura; Bufonidae
Exons: 3
Source: RefSeq, a predicted model, not a curated record